GAUGAACGCUGGCGGCGUGCCUAACACAUGCAAGUCGAGCGAGGGUUUGCUCAGUAUUGAGUAUUCUAAAACUAGAAUGUUCAAUUCUGAGCAAAACCAAGCGGCGGACGGGUGAGUAACGCGUGGGUAACCUGCCCUAUACACAUGGAUAACAUACUGAAAAGUUUACUAAUACAUGAUAAUAUAUAUUUGCGGCAUCGCAGAUAUAUCAAAGUGUUAGCGGUAUAGGAUGGACCCGCGUCUGAUUAGCUAGUUGGUGAGAUAACUGCCCACCAAGGCGACGAUCAGUAGCCGACCUGAGAGGGUGAUCGGCCACAUUGGAACUGAGACACGGUCCAAACUCCUACGGGAGGCAGCAGUGGGGAAUAUUGCACAAUGGGCGAAAGCCUGAUGCAGCAACGCCGCGUGAACGAUGAAGGUCUUCGGAUCGUAAAGUUCUGUUGCAGGGGAAGAUAAUGACGGUACCCUGGAGAAGCCC
RNAcentral lists this ribosomal RNA (478 nucleotides) under Peptostreptococcus stomatis. Its description in RNAcentral is "bacterial SSU rRNA". It matches the Rfam family "Bacterial small subunit ribosomal RNA", at positions 28 to 493 of the family's 1533-position model. The record is from RNAcentral. Lineage: Bacteria; Bacillati; Bacillota; Clostridia; Peptostreptococcales; Peptostreptococcaceae.